CCUACGGGAGGCAGCAGUAAGGAAUAUUGGUCAAUGGACGCAAGUCUGAACCAGCCAUGUCGCGUGCAGGAUGAAGGCCCUCUGGGUUGUAAACUGCUUUUAUAGGGGACGAAAAGGGACUUUCUAGUUCAACUGACGGUACCCUAGGAAUAAGCACCGGCUAACUCCGUGCCAGCAGCCGCGGUAAUACGGAGGGUGCAAGCGUUAUCCGGAUUUACUGGGUUUAAAGGGUGCGUAGGUGGGUCGGUAAGUCAGCGGUGAAAUCUUCAAGCUUAACUUGGAAACUGCCAUUGAUACUAUCGAUCUUGAAUCAUCUGGAGGUAAGCGGAAUAUGUCAUGUAGCGGUGAAAUGCUUAGAUAUGACAUAGAACACCAAUUGCGAAGGCAGCUUACUACGGAUGUAUUGACACUGAGGCACGAAAGCUGGGGAUCAAACAGGAUUAGAUACCCUGGUAGUCCACGCCCUAAACCGAUGGAUACUCGACAUACGUGAUAUACCUAUUGUGUGUNUGAGNGAAGACAUAAGUAUACCACCGUCGGUAGUACGAGCGCGAGAGUAGAACGUACGAAAGUAAGUAGUAGACGUGAGAGACGACGACGACGACGACGAGGGAGGAGG
Molecule: ribosomal RNA, 619 nt
Filed under: uncultured bacterium
Lineage: Bacteria
Description: bacterial SSU rRNA
Rfam family: Bacterial small subunit ribosomal RNA (bases 1-535)
Source: RNAcentral